UACGUAGGGUGCGAGCGUUAAUCGGAAUUACUGGGCGUAAAGCGUGCGCAGGCGGUUGGUUAAGUCUGAUGUGAAAGCCCCGGGCUCAACCUGGGAAUGGCAUUGGAAACUGGUCAGCUGGAGUGUGGCAGAGGGGGGUGGAAUUCCGCGUGUAGCAGUGAAAUGCGUAGAGAUGCGGAGGAACACCGAUGGCGAAGGCAGCCCCCUGGGCCAACACUGACGCUCAGGCGCGAAAGCGUGGGGAGCAAACAGG
This 253-nucleotide ribosomal RNA is filed under the name uncultured bacterium. RNAcentral's name for it is "partial 16S ribosomal RNA". It matches the Rfam family "Bacterial small subunit ribosomal RNA", at positions 524 to 776 of the family's 1533-position model. The record is from RNAcentral.